AGAGUUUGAUCCUGGCUCAGGACGAACGCUGGCGGCGUGCUUAACACAUGCAAGUCGAACGAUGAAGCCCUUCGGGGUGGAUUAGUGGCGAACGGGUGAGUAACACGUGGGCAAUCUGCCCUUCACUCUGGGACAAGCCCUGGAAACGGGGUCUAAUACCGGAUAACACUCUGUCCCGCAUGGGACGGGGUUAAAAGCUCCGGCGGUGAAGGAUGAGCCCGCGGCCUAUCAGCUUGUUGGUGGGGUAAUGGCCUACCAAGGCGACGACGGGUAGCCGGCCUGAGAGGGCGACCGGCCACACUGGGACUGAGACACGGCCCAGACUCCUACGGGAGGCAGCAGUGGGGAAUAUUGCACAAUGGGCGAAAGCCUGAUGCAGCGACGCCGCGUGAGGGAUGACGGCCUUCGGGUUGUAAACCUCUUUCAGCAGGGAAGAAGCGAAAGUGACGGUACCUGCAGAAGAAGCGCCGGCUAACUACGUGCCAGCAGCCGCGGUAAUACGUAGGGCGCAAGCGUUGUCCGGAAUUAUUGGGCGUAAAGAGCUCGUAGGCGGCUUGUCACGUCGGAUGUGAAAGCCCGGGGCUUAACCCCGGGUCUGCAUUCGAUACGGGCUAGCUAGAGUGUGGUAGGGGAGAUCGGAAUUCCUGGUGUAGCGGUGAAAUGCGCAGAUAUCAGGAGGAACACCGGUGGCGAAGGCGGAUCUCUGGGCCAUUACUGACGCUGAGGAGCGAAAGCGUGGGGAGCGAACAGGAUUAGAUACCCUGGUAGUCCACGCCGUAAACGUUGGGAACUAGGUGUUGGCGACAUUCCACGUCGUCGGUGCCGCAGCUAACGCAUUAAGUUCCCCGCCUGGGGAGUACGGCCGCAAG
RNAcentral lists this ribosomal RNA (869 nucleotides) under Streptomyces sp. AKB-2008-TE14. RNAcentral's name for it is "bacterial SSU rRNA". It matches the Rfam family "Bacterial small subunit ribosomal RNA", at positions 8 to 892 of the family's 1533-position model. The record is from RNAcentral. Lineage: Bacteria; Bacillati; Actinomycetota; Actinomycetes; Kitasatosporales; Streptomycetaceae.